This 960-nucleotide ribosomal RNA is filed under the name Triticum aestivum (bread wheat). RNAcentral describes it as "partial small subunit ribosomal RNA". The record is from RNAcentral. Lineage: Eukaryota; Viridiplantae; Streptophyta; Magnoliopsida; Poales; Poaceae.
AUGGGGAGUACUCGCGACGGAGAUGCAUCAGCCAUUGCUCUGCUGCUGCUGUGCGCUUGCUUUCUCACCUCCCUUGCAUGUGACAGCACAGAUGGUGCCAAGUUUGGGUACACCGGUCCUCUCGGCCCCGAUCACUGGGGGGGAUUGGACCCCAACUUCACGCAGUGCGCCAUGGGGACGUACCAGUCUCCGGUUGAUAUCAAGACCAGAGACGUGGUUUACAACCCGAUGUUGGGGCCUCUUCACAGGGAGUACACCGCCGCGAAUGCUACCCUCGUAGACAACAUCUUCAACAUCGCGGUAAUUUUGCUCUCAACCAAACGCCGCUUACCUGCCUUCUGCGUUCAGCAGUUUGCGUUUCAUCCUCUCGCUGCGUUUCACUGUGUUCUUGUCCUGUGUGAUCGGUCGAUGCAGCUGCGGUGCGAGGAUGCUGCUGGGACGGUGCAGAUCGACGGGGUGAAGUACAAGCUGGACAACAUCCAUUGGCACUCUCCUUCAGAGCACACCAUCAACGGCGAGAGGUUUGCGGUGGAGCAGCACAUGGUUCACUUCAGUGACGACGGCAACAUAUCCGUCGUGUCGAUCCUGUACCGGCUCGGCAGGCCAGACCCUUUCCUCAUGCAGCUGCAGGAUAAGCUAUCGGAGCUCUACGUGGAGGCCUGCAGGGCCGAGAAAGGCGCUCCCAUCCCCGCCGGAGUCGUCAACAUGUGGCCGCUGCGGCGUUACGCCAACAUGUACUACCGGUACGUCGGGUCGCUGACCACGCCGCCGUGCACCGAGAACGUCAUCUGGAACAUCCACGGCAGGGUGAGGGAGAUGACGUUGGGGCAGGCUGCCGCCCUGAUCGCGCCCCUGGAGGAGGGCUACCGGCGCAACAACAGGCCGACGCAGCCGCUCAACGGCCGCACCGUGCAGUUCUACCGCAGGUUCUGGAAGAAGAAGGGGAACGGGAAGCCGUAA